CCUACGGGGGGCAGCAGUGAGGAAUAUUGGUCAAUGGGCGAGAGCCUGAACCAGCCAAGUCGCGUGAGGGAGUACUGCCCUAUGGGUUGUAAACCUCUUUUGUCGGGGAGCAAAAGCCGGACGUGUCCGGCUGUGAGAGUACCCGAAGAAAAAGCAUCGGCUUACUUCGUGCCAGCAGCCGCGGUAAUACGGAGGAUGCGAGCGUUAUCCGGGUUUAUUGGGUUUAAAGGGUGCGCAGGCGGAUUUUUAAGUCAGCGGUAAAAUCGUGGGGCUCAACCCCAUCCAGCCGUUGAAACUGGGGAUCUAGAGUGUGCGAGAGGUAUGCGGAAUGCGUGGUGUAGCGGUGAAAUGCAUAGAUAUCACGCAGAACCCCGAUUGCGAAGGCAGCAUACCGGUGCACAACUGACGCUCAGGCACGAAAGCGUGGGUAUCGAACAGGAUUAGAUACCCCUGUAGUC
This 458-nucleotide ribosomal RNA is filed under the name uncultured bacterium. Its description in RNAcentral is "partial 16S ribosomal RNA". It matches the Rfam family "Bacterial small subunit ribosomal RNA", at positions 338 to 795 of the family's 1533-position model. The record is from RNAcentral.